RNAcentral lists this ribosomal RNA (492 nucleotides) under uncultured bacterium. RNAcentral describes it as "partial 16S ribosomal RNA". It matches the Rfam family "Bacterial small subunit ribosomal RNA", at positions 29 to 507 of the family's 1533-position model. The record is from RNAcentral.
AGUGAACGCUGGCGGCAGGCCUAACACAUGCAAGUCGAACGGCCACACAGUAAGAUCUUGCUCUUAAGGGUGGCGAGUGGCGGGCGAGUGAGGCAUAGAUAGGCAACUUCUAUUUCGUGGGGGACUACGGAAGGAAACAUAUGCUAAUAGAUAAUAUGACCUACCGGUGGGAUCAAGAGAGAAUCAGAGCCUUCGCGUCUCUAUGAGACGAAGUCGGAUUAGCUAGUUGGCUAGGUAAAGGCCUACCAAGGCGACGAUACGUAGCUGAUCUGAGAGGAUGAUCAGCCACACUGGAACUGAGACACGGUCCAGACUCCUACGGGAGGCAGCAGUAGGGAAUCUUCCGCAAUGGGCGAAAGCCUGACGCAGCAACGCCGCGUGAGUGAAGAAGGUCUUCGGAUCGUAAAGCCCUGUUAUUAGGGAAGAACAAAUGUGUAAGUAUCUCUGCACGUCUUGACGGUACCUAAUCAGAAAGCCCCGGCUAACUACGUG